GACGAACGCUGGCGGCGUGCUUAACACAUGCAAGUCGAACGGAAAGGCCCUGCUUUUGUGGGGUGCUCGAGUGGCGAACGGGUGAGUAACACGUGAGUAACCUGCCCUUGACUUUGGGAUAACUUCAGGAAACUGGGGCUAAUACCGGAUAGGAGCUCCUGCUGCAUGGUGGGGGUUGGAAAGUUUCGGCGGUUGGGGAUGGACUCGCGGCUUAUCAGCUUGUUGGUGGGGUAGUGGCUUACCAAGGCUUUGACGGGUAGCCGGCCUGAGAGGGUGACCGGCCACAUUGGGACUGAGAUACGGCCCAGACUCCUACGGGAGGCAGCAGUGGGGAAUAUUGCACAAUGGGCGGAAGCCUGAUGCAGCAACGCCGCGUGCGGGAUGACGGCCUUCGGGUUGUAAACCGCUUUCGCCUGUGACGAAGCGUGAGUGACGGUAAUGGGUAAAGAAGCACCGGCUAACUACGUGCCAGCAGCCGCGGUGAUACGUAGGGUGCGAGCGUUGUCCGGAUUUAUUGGGCGUAAAGGGCUCGUAGGUGGUUGAUCGCGUCGGAAGUGUAAUCUUGGGGCUUAACCCUGAGCGUGCUUUCGAUACGGGUUGACUUGAGGAAGGUAGGGGAGAAUGGAAUUCCUGGUGGAGCGGUGGAAUGCGCAGAUAUCAGGAGGAACACCAGUGGCGAAGGCGGUUCUCUGGGCCUUUCCUGACGCUGAGGAGCGAAAGCGUGGGGAGCGAACAGGCUUAGAUACCCUGGUAGUCCACGCUGUAAACGGUGGGUACUAGGUGUGGGGUCCAUUCCACGGGUUCCGUGCCGUAGCUAACGCUUUAAGUACCCCGCCUGGGGAGUACGGCCGCAAGGCUAAAACUCAAAGGAAUUGACGGGGCCCCGCACAAGCGGCGGAGCAUGCGGAUUAAUUCGAUGCAACGCGUAGAACCUUACCUGGGUUUGACAUGGAUCGGGAGUGCUCAGAGAUGGGUGUGCCUCUUUUGGGGUCGGUUCACAGGUGGUGCAUGGCUGUCGUCAGCUCGUGUCGUGAGAUGUUGGGUUAAGUCCCGCAACGAGCGCAACCCUUGUUCACUGUUGCCAGCACGUUAUGGUGGGGACUCAGUGGAGACCGCCGGGGUCAACUCGGAGGAAGGUGGGGAUGACGUCAAGUCAUCAUGCCCCUUAUGUCCAGGGCUUCACGCAUGCUACAAUGGCUGGUACAGAGAGUGGCGAGCCUGUGAGGGUGAGCGAAUCUCGGAAAGCCGGUCUCAGUUCGGAUUGGGGUCUGCAACUCGACCUCAUGAAGUCGGAGUCGCUAGUAAUCGCAGAUCAGCAACGCUGGGGUGAAUACGUUCCCGGGGCUUGUACACACCGCCCGUCAAGUCAUGAAAGUUGGUAACACCCGAAGCCGGUGGCCUAACCGUUGUGGGGGAGCCGUCGAAGGUGGGACUGGUGAUUAGGACUAAGUCGUAACAAGGUAGCCGUACCGGAAGG
RNAcentral lists this ribosomal RNA (1477 nucleotides) under uncultured bacterium. RNAcentral describes it as "16S ribosomal RNA". It matches the Rfam family "Bacterial small subunit ribosomal RNA". The record is from RNAcentral.